RNAcentral lists this non-coding RNA (809 nucleotides) under Glycera capitata. The record is from RNAcentral. Lineage: Eukaryota; Metazoa; Annelida; Polychaeta; Phyllodocida; Glyceridae.
AAAUAAUUUGGUUAUGGUUACUAAAUUAGCUACAUUAUUAAACAACACAUGCAAGUAAUUACACCCCCGUAAACAUAUAAUUAAAAUCUAAAAGAAAUAAAAAUUUAUAUUAAUAAAAAUAAAAAUAAAAACUACGCCUGCAGUGAAAAAUACUGAUAAAAUUAAGAAAAUAAGAUACGGUAAAUAAUAAAAAGACUGACAAAAUUCGUGCCAGCAGCCGCGGUUAAACGAAAAGUCUAAGCUAAUUAAAACGGAGCAUUGAAAAAUAUAAAUUGAUAAUAAAAAAUAUAAAAAGGUACAAUUUUAUAAACAAAUAAAUUAUAUUAUCUAUAUAAAAAUUCAACAAAGUUAAAACCAAAACAAGGAUUAGAUACCCUUCUAUUUUUAACCACAAAUCUUAACUCCUGGCACUACGAGUACAUACUUAAAACCUAAGAACUUGGCGGUGUCUCAACAUACUAGGGGAGCCUGUUUUUUAAUCGAUAAUCCACGAUACCCUCAACCUAAACUAGAAAUUCAGCUUGUGUACUGCCGUCUAAAGUUUACAUAGCAAUAUAGUGAACUAUAAAGAUAACCUCUUUCACGUCAGGUCAAAGUGCAGCCUAUGCUUAGGACAAAAUGGGCUACAUUUUAUAAACAUCCGGACUUCUAAUUAAAAACAGCACGAAGUUGGACUUAGCAGUAAAAUAUAAAUAAUUUAUAUUAUUGAAGAAGCAAAAUGAGACAUGCACACAUCGCCCGUCGCUCUUUCUGAAAAGAAAGAUAAGUCGUAACAUAGUUAGUGUAAUGGAAAUUGCACUUAUCGAAAU